RNAcentral lists this long non-coding RNA (332 nucleotides) under Mustela putorius furo (domestic ferret). RNAcentral describes it as "lncRNA (ENSMPUG00000026746.1)". Lineage: Eukaryota; Metazoa; Chordata; Mammalia; Carnivora; Mustelidae. The record is from RNAcentral.
UUGUUUCCCAGGAUUUGGGGUUUGGAUUAGAGCUAUGCCAUUUUUUUUCCAGGACCUCCAUCUUGCAGACAGCAGAUUGUGGGACUUCUUAGCCUCCAUAAUUAUAUCCCUGGAAUUCGGCACCUUUGUGAAUAUACAGAGGAAAAGCAAGUGAGACCAACAGAAGGUAAAAGCUGGAGCCAACGUGGGGCGCCUGGGUGGCUUAGUCAUGGGUGUCUGCCUUCAGCGUGGGUCAUGAUCCCAGGGUCCUGGGAUGGAGCUCCGCAUCAGGCUCCCUGCUUGGCCAGGAGCCUGCUUCCCCCUCUCCCUCUGUUACUCCCCCUACUUGUUGU